AAGAACGCAUAGGUUAAAACAACAAAUCAUCUCCGCCCGAAGCCAUCGCCGCUCGAAGCCAUCACCACAACAGCUCUUGCCUCUCCACAAUAGCUCUCUGCCUCUCUUCACUAUCGUCGCCGUCGCCGGACUCCUCUCUACCUCUCGACACUCACUGCCACCAACCGUAGGAAUCCUCUCCGCCUCUCUGCACUGACCCAUCACCGGCCGCACGACUCCACUCUGCCUCUCCGCACUCGUUGUCGUCUGCCGCAAGACUUCCAUAUCUCCGUAUCAUAGGACCACAGCAAGAGUAAGCAAGCCCUUUGCUAACCACUCCACACUCUACAUCAAGACAAAAGCUCAAAGCCAAAGAAUUAUGUCAAAGAGUAUUAGACCGGAACCAUUUAGAACAACUCGAGAAGAAUAUUGCUGAAAUUCUGUGCAUGUUGGAAAGGUAUUUUCCACCUGCUUUCUUUACCAUCUCGGUUCACUCGACAAUUCAUUUAGCAAGAGAGACUCGUUUGUGUGGGCCAAUCCAUUUCCGUUGGAUGUAUCCAUUUGAAAGAUUUAUGAAAACGCUAAAAGGGUAUGUGAAGAACCGGGCAAGACUAGAAGGAUGCAUAGCUGAGUGUUACCUUGUAGAAGAACGAAUGAUAUUUUUUAGUGCUUAUAUAAAAAAGGCUUAUAGUAUUGGUGUUCGUUUUAAUAGGAACGAUGAUUUGGAAGAUGGAUUAUUAGAAGGUCGCCCAAUUUCUAAAGGGAAAGAAAAGAUUUUAGAGGACCAAGUGUUGCAAGCUACACAUCGAUAUAUAUUAUUCAAUAGUGCAGAAGUUGAACCUUACUUAUAGUCAUUACAUAGCUUUCAAAAGAUCAGUAAAAUGGUUAAAAAACAUAGCAAAGGAUCUUUCGUUGAAAUUCAGGAAAAUAUAACUGGUUAUCGAGAAUGGACUCUAACAAUUAAACCAAUUCAUCACAAGAUUUUCAUGGUAAAGAACCAAUUGCUGAUGAGAAAAUUGAUAAGAAAAAAAGACGGGGUGCAUCAAAGUUGAAAAUGGUUAGUGGCCAAGACAAGUGCAAAGAGCUGGAGCGUAAUGAGUUUGGACAGCCGAUUGGAGAUAAUUCAGUGAAGUACGCUUCUUUCCUAGGUUGCAUGAUAAAGGAAUUUGUGCCAUAUACAUUAGAUGAAUGGAGUGAUAUUGAUGAAGUGAAAGAUAGGAUGUGGAGCUGUCUUCAGGUAUGAAAGGCAUCUAGCAGCCAAUCAUACGGGUUCAAUGAGAUAAAGUUGAGAUGUUCAAUAUGCAUGGAUGCAGUGGAGGAGAUAACCACUACUUGUGGCCACAUUUUUUUUUUUUUUUUUUUUUUGCAAUAGCUGUAUCACCAAUGUCAUUCAUGUACAGCGCAAAAGGCCAACCUGCUGAUUCAAUCUCUCUCCGAGUCCCAGGAGCAAGUUCCUGACUUUUCAGAGUAUGCUAAAAUCUUGAUUCCUGCUUCGGCUCACUUCAUAAUCUACCACUCUGACCACCACCUAAGUGAAUUGACCAUCUUUAUUUAUUUGCCUUGUUGAGCGAGGAAGUCUCUCCCCAGGCUAUAUGUGAUUUGUUCAAACUUAAAAAAUGUAGUAAGAUCAGUGUUUAGUCUUGUAUUAUUGGUAGCUCUCAAGACCAUUGUGAUAUCUUAGUGUAUGGAAUGAUGACUUAAUUGUUGUUUGCUUUUGUUAA
Zingiber officinale is the source of this 1700-nucleotide long non-coding RNA. RefSeq lists it as uncharacterized. The transcript is spliced from 6 exons. NCBI's taxonomy places the organism in Eukaryota, Viridiplantae, Streptophyta, Magnoliopsida, Zingiberales, Zingiberaceae. The record is from RefSeq and is a predicted model, not a curated record.